RNAcentral lists this small nuclear RNA (97 nucleotides) under Phascolarctos cinereus (koala). Lineage: Eukaryota; Metazoa; Chordata; Mammalia; Diprotodontia; Phascolarctidae. The record is from RNAcentral.
ACUAAAUUCUGUAAAUACUAAAAUUGGAAUGAUACAAAGAUUAGCAUGACCCCUGCAUAAUGAUGAUGGUCAAAUUUGUGAAAUAUUCGAAACUUUU